AUUUAAUUGCAUGGGGAUGUCUGGAGUGAGAUGAGCUUACUCCUGGAAGGAGAUGGAUUGUGCAAAAUCAUCCGGCUGUACGACUUGUGGGUAGUGAUGUAUCAAAAACAAGGCAAUCGCAUAUGAAAGAUCACUCUUUCACCACUGCCUGUUAUUGUGCCUGAAUGUGCUGGCCCACUGCUGUGCUGCCAAUCUGAUUUGAAGAAUUUCAACUGCCUCAUUCAACCGCAAUACGUGAUGACGGAAGAACAAGGAAGAACAGGGAUAUGUUUUUGAAGUGGUGGUGCUGCAUUUGCCAGAAUUACAGCAGAGGAGACAAAGUCUCACUGUGGGUGAAAGGACCAAAAAUCAUCUCUCGUACAGCUGAAUCUAUAAAGAUUGUAAGUGCUUUGGUCCAGGGAAAGUCUCUCGUCUCCAGUUAA
This 422-nucleotide long non-coding RNA is filed under the name Struthio camelus australis. RNAcentral describes it as "lncRNA (ENSSCUG00000015700.1)". The record is from RNAcentral. Lineage: Eukaryota; Metazoa; Chordata; Aves; Struthioniformes; Struthionidae.